UUUUAACUUCUUGAAUAUGUUGAAUUUGGAGGAACUUAAAUAUCAAGUUUUAACCAAUGGGAAAUCCAACUUAUUUGCUCUAAAUUACUUUAGAGAGAUUAUUUAAAUUCAAAAUGAUCUCAAUAUGUUAAUAUAUUCUUUCUUACAUUAUCAAUGGUUGAGAUCUAAGAGUCCAACUUCAACAUUAGAAACUGUUAAAUUUUUUUGGUGUUAAACUAGACUAGACCUAUCCAAAAAUGAUUUAGAAGUUGGAAUAUUAGUGAGCUUCUUUAACUGGAUUAUUGUUGUUUUUAUUUUUAUCGAACAACUUUAAUACAUAUUAGUGUUUGUCAGUGUGUGAUCUCCUUUAUUUUCUAUAUUCCAUUGAUAAUGAACAAGGAUUAAUUAAUUAGUGCGUUUGAUUUGGUUCUUCAACAAAUAUUAAACAUGUCAUAUGAAAAGACAAUAACAUCGUAAUUUCCCCUACUAUAAUGGGACUUAAAUUCUUUUACUUAUUAAGCUGUUGAUUUCCACCCUAUUUAACAUUGUUAUUGGUGGAUGUGAAGUUAAAUUGCAUGAGUAAUAAAUAAAAUUUAUAAUUUAAUAUUGUACUUAUUGUGAAUAGAUGAUGCUAGGAUCACGUUAGUUGAAUUGGCUAUAUGGUCUCUAAUUUACGAUCCCUAUAUUUAAGGUUUAGAUGACAUCAAAUUUAGCAUGAGAAUUACUGGUUGCUAUACGAGAGAUGUCGCAACAGCAACCACCUCAACAGCCACGAGACAGGCCGGGAACAUCUUCAAUUGUAAAACAAUUUCACAAGCUACACCCACAUGUGUUUGAAGGUGGCCCUGAUCCACUGGCUGCUGAAGAAUGGCUUCGCUAUCUCGAGCGUAUCUUUAGAUUUAUGGAAUGCAUUGACGCACAAAAAAUCCUUUGUGCGGUAUUUAUGAUGGAAAAGGGAGCAGGCCAUUAGUGGGAGAUGACUAUUAGAUCCCGCACCGAGGAACAACAGCGUAACCUUACAUGGGCACAGUUCAAAGAGAUAGUACUUCAAAAGUACCUUUCCAGCCACUUUAAGAGACAAGAAGGAAGCAGAGUUUCUUGAACUGAAGUAGGGAAACAUGACGGUCACCGAUUAUGAGGAAAAAUUUGAGGAGUUGUCUAGAUUUACCCCCACAUUUGGUGGACAUGGAGGAGAUACAAGCUUGAUGCUUUGAGCAUGGGCUGAGAACUGACAUUAGAAAAGCGAUGGCAGUAUUCCAAUUAGGUACUUAUCAUGGAGUUCUAGAAAAAGCUCAAGUAUACGCAUUUGAUGAUGACCAUACUGGUGAAAGUAGUAAGCAGCAGACAGCUUCCUUAAACAAACGCAAGUGGUAUGACAAUAACAAGAGGAAUGGAAAAGGUCCCAACAAGAAGGGAAUGACAGAAAUAGAUGCAAAUAUCCAUGACAAGAAUCCACGACCUCUUAGUCCCAAAUGUCAGAAACCAUAUAAGGGAGAAUGCUUGGCAGAAAAAGGUGUCUGUUACAAAUGUGGCAAGCCAAGACACGUCGUGAAAGACUGCAUUGAGGGAUAAUCUAAGAAGACUGAAGAUCAAAAGGUGGGCAAGGCAAGAGUUUUUACUUUAACACAGGAAGAGGCAGAGCUUGACUGCAAUGUAGUGGCAGGUAUAAUAUCAAUCUCUGACAUGCCUACUUUUAUAUUAAUUGAUUCAGGAGCUACACACUCGUUUCUUUUUUCAAUAUUCAUUUCAAAGUCAAAUAUAGAAUGUGUACCCCUUGAUAGCAUAUUAGAAGUAUUAUUACCGUCUGGAAAGGUGCUCAAUGCAAAUUAUAUAGCGAGGAACCUAAAUCUAGAAAUGGAUGGGAAGAUUAUAAAAACAGACUUAGUGGUCUUAGAUUUGAAAGAUUUUGAUGUUAUACUUAGGAUGGACUGGUUGUCAAAAAAUCAUGCAAUCAUUUGUUGUUUCGAGAAGGAUGUAAUUUUUCAACUACCUAGCGAAGAAGAAUUUCACUUCUUUGGAACAAAGGUGAAAUCUCUGCCCUGACUUAUAUCAGCAGUAUAGGUUGUACGCUUGUUGAAAAAGAAGACGGCUCAAGGAUUCUUAGUGUCAUUGGCCAGCACUAAUCAAAAGGAACCAUUGACAAAGUCCCAGUGGUUAAGAAUUUUUCAGAUGUAUUUCCAAAAGAUUUACCAGGAAUGCCUCCAAAUCGAGAGGUAGAGUUCACUAUUGACCUUGUACUGAGUGCCACACUAAUUUCGAAGGCCUCUUAUCGUAUGGCACCAGUAAGACUUCAAGAAUUGAAAGUACAAUUACAAGAGUUACUAGACAAGGGUUUUAUUAGACCCAGUAUCUGACCAUGGGGAGCUCCAAUAUUGUUCGUGAAGAAGAAUGAUGGAUCGAUGUGAAUGUGUAUUGAUUAUCGAGAGCUUAACCAUAUUACAAUUACAAAUAAAUAUCCCAUUCCUAGAAUUAAAGAUUUAUUUGACCAGCUAUAAGAUGCCAAGGUCUUCUCAAAAUUUGAUUUAAGAUCAGGCUAUCAUCAGUUGAAAAUUAAAUCAAAUGACGCUCCUAGGACUGCAUUUAGGACUCGAUAUGGGAGUUCUUGGUGAUGCCCUUUGGCUUGAGAAAUGCGACAACAAUCUUUAUCGAUCUCAUAAAUCGAAUUUUCCACAACUAUCUGGACCAGUUUGUUAUUGUUCUCAUUGAUGACAUACUAAUCUAUUCAAAGAGUGAGCAUGAACAUAUGAAACACCUAAGGAUUAUUUUCGAAAUACUGAGGAAGGAAAAGCUCUAUGCCAAAUUCAAAAAGUGUGAAUUUUGGCUCAAUAGAGUGGGAUUUUUAGGCCACAUAAUUACAGCCCAAGGAAUUGAAGUUGAACCGAGUAAAGUGGUAGCAAUUACCAAUUGGCCUCGACCAACUAAUGUUAGAGAAGUAUGCAGCUUCUUGGGAUUAUGAAGGAUUUUCAAAGAUUGCCAUCCCAAUGACUCAGUUAACGAGGAAAAAUGUGAAGUUUCAAUUGACGGAUAGAUGCGAACAGAGCUUUCAGGAACUAAAAUAGAAAUUGAUCUCAGCUCCAGUUUUGACCAUACCCAAAGGAUCAAAAGGCUUUAUUAUCUACAGGGAUGCAUCUAAGCAGGGUCUAGGAUGUAUACUUAUGCAGCAUGGUAAAGUUAUCGCAUAUGUUUCCAGAAAACUAAAUUCAUAUGAAGAAAACUAUUCGACACAUGACCUGGAGUUAGUAGCAGUAGUUCAUGCACUGAAGAUUUAGCGACACUAUCUCUACGGAGCUAAAUGUGAUAUUUACACGGACUACAAGAGCCUAAAGUUUUUCUUCACCCAAAAGGAAUUGAACAUGAGACAACGCAGAUGGCUAGAAUUGGUGAAGAUUAUGAUUGUGCCAUUCAUUAUUAUCCAGGAAAGGUCAAUGUAGUUGUUAAUGCAUUAAGCAGAAAGACAACAGGACAUUUGACAGCUUUGCUACAUAGGAAUCAUUAAUUAGAGAUAUCAAUAGCUUACAACUUGAGGUAAUCUUACCUCCAGCAGAUAUUGCAGCACGAAUUGCUACCCUCACAAUUCAACCUACUAUUCAAUAUACAAAAUUAAGAAAGCUCAGGAUAGUGAUCCAUUUCUACAAAAGAUUAAAGGUUAAGUUGGUACUGGCAAACGAAAAGGUUUUGAGUUAGCUGAAGAUAACACAUUGAUGUUUAAAGGAAGAUUGUGUGUACCAAAGAAUAAGGAGAUACGAAAAGAAAUAUUAGAUGAAGCUCACUUCACCCCAUAUGCAGCACAUCCCGGGGGAAUAAUGAUAUAUAAAGACCUUCAAAGCACAUUCUGGCGGUGAAAUAUAAAAAAAAUAGGUCUAUUUGUAGAGAAGUGCAUGGUUUGUUGGCAAGUCAAAGCGGAACAUCGAAGACCAUCAGGAUUAUUAAACACACUAGAGAUUCCUGAAUGGAAAUGUGAGCACAUUGCUAUGUAUUUUGUAAUUGGUUUUCCAAAUUCAAAUAGAGAAAAUGAUGCAAUUUGGGUUAUUAUUGAUAGAUUAACAAAGUCAUCUCACUUCUUACCAGUAAAAAUGACCUUUAAUAUGGAUCAACUAGCUCAGCUAUAUGUUAGAGAAGUGAUCAAAUUACGUGGGACCCCAGUCUCAAUUGUGUCAGACAGAGAUUCGAGAUUCACUUCAAUAUUUUGGAAAGGUAUGCACCAGGCAAUGGGGACUAAGCUAAACUUCAAUACAGCUUUUCACCCACAUUCAGAUGGUCAGUCAGAGAGGACUAUUCAAAUUCUUGAAGACGUGCUUUGAGCAUGCUUCCUCGAUCUUGGAGGAAGUUGGGAAAAACAUCUACCAUUAGUAGAAUUUGCCUAUAAUAAUAGGUAUCAAACUACUAUAGGAAUGGCCCCUUAUGAGGCUUUAUACGGUAGGAGGUGCAAAUCCCCAUCUCAUUGGGAUGAAGUUGGUGAGCGAAGAAUUCUAGGGCCUGAGAUUAUUGAACGAACAAUCCAAGCUAUUGAAAAGAUUCGUGCUAGAAUAAAGACUGUCCAAGACUGACAGAAAAGCUAUGCAGAUGACAGAAGGAAGGAUCUUGAGUUUGAGGUUGGUGACAAAAUUUUCCUAAAAAUAGCUCCUAUAAAGGGAGUUAUUCGAUUUUGUAAAAAGGGAAAGCUCCAACCAAGAUACAGAGGGCCUUUUGAGAUUUUGAAAUGUGUGGGAACUAUAGCUUAUAAGCUGGCAUUGCCUCCCGAACUUUCAACAGUACACAAUGUCUUUCAUGUCUCUAUGCUUUGAAAAUAUGUAUAAAACCCUGGGCACGUGAUUAAUCCUAAAUCGUUAGACAUUCACCCAAAUCUAACUUAUGAGGAAACUCCAAUAGUCAUCUUGGAUAGGAUGUUUCGAACACUUCGAAACAUCCAUUUCAAUUCCAUUGGUAAAAGUUUAGUGGCGAAAUCACGCAGUGGAAGAGUCUACUUGGGAACACGAGGUAGAUAUUAAAGCUAAAUACCCUUAAAUUUUCGAAAAUCAAGGUAAAUUUCAAGGACGAAAUUUUUUUUAAGGAGGGGAGGAUGUAAUAGCCAAAAUAAAUAAAUCAUAAAAUAUAUUAUGAGGCAUAAAAUGUAUGAAAUUAAACUUUAAUAUUAUUUUGGAUAUAUAUUGAAUUAUUUUAUAAAAUGAAGUUUAAAUAAAUUUAGUAUUUUAACAUAUUUAUACUAGAAUCUUAUCCUCAUGUAAUUAGGAUUUUAUGUGGUAAAAUUGUUUGUUAAGAGCUCUAUUUGAAGUCAAAUUGAGAUUUUAUUAGAAGUCUAAAUGGGUAACUCAUCCUAAUCUAAUUACCAUUGUUUAAUAGUCUUGAGACUUGCACUUACUUCAUGCUAAAUUACAUAAAGCAAAAAACGAGAGAGAGAGAGAGAGGCAGAAGAGAAAACGUAAAGAAGGAAGGAAGAAAAAAGGAAAAGAAUUUUUUUGAUGCGUUCGAGAUUCAUUUGCAAGAAUUUUCAAUCCUAAAUAGUUCAAGUACACUAGGAAUUUAUCGAAUAGGUAUGGAUUUCUCUAAAUGCCCAGUGAUUUUGUGUUUUCACUCUUUAGUGCUUUAAGUUGAGUAUUUUAUGUGCUACUUUGUUAUCCAAAGUAAAUAAAAAUAUUGUGGGAAAUAUCAUAGGGUAUUAUUAUGUAGAUUUACACAGAAACCAGCCACAAGGCUAAAUACCAUAAGUGGAGAUUGAGAAUAGGUUUGACCUAAGUGAGAAUGAGAUUGUCAGGUUUCUAUCCUACUAGAAAGUUAUGUUAUAUGGGUAUUUUACUUACUUUUCAUAUUAAACUGUGAAAAUACUAGCAUGAAAUCUAUACUGAGUAUAUUCAUAUGCUCAUUCCAUAUUUUAAAUUAUUUUUACAGAUGCUUGAUGAAUCGGAGUUGGAAGUUGAGACUGCUGACAGAGUUCAUGUUGCUGGAU
Molecule: long non-coding RNA, 5923 nt
Filed under: Olea europaea subsp. europaea
Lineage: Eukaryota; Viridiplantae; Streptophyta; Magnoliopsida; Lamiales; Oleaceae
Source: RNAcentral